RNAcentral lists this transfer RNA (58 nucleotides) under Rattus norvegicus (Norway rat). It matches the Rfam family "tRNA", at positions 8 to 63 of the family's 71-position model. Rfam says of the family: Transfer RNA (tRNA) molecules are approximately 80 nucleotides in length. Their secondary structure includes four short double-helical elements and three loops (D, anti-codon, and T loops). The record is from Rfam by way of RNAcentral. Lineage: Eukaryota; Metazoa; Chordata; Mammalia; Rodentia; Muridae.
UAGCUUAGGGGUUAAGAGCACUGGCUGUUCUUCCAGAGGCUCUGGGUUCAAAUCCCAG